AAUGAACGUUGGCGGCGUGGAUUAGGCAUGCAAGUCGUGCGAUAACCCCGCAAGGGGGGAAAGCGGCGAAAGGGAGAGUAAUGCGUGGGUACCUGCCCCUGGGUUCGGAAUAGCUGCGGGAAACUGCAGGUAAUGCCGGAUAAUAUCCUCGGAUCAAAGGUGUGAUUCCGCCGAGGGAGGGGCCCGCGUUCUAUUAGCUAGUUGGCAGGGGAACGGCGUACCAAGGCGACGAUGGAUACCGGGUGUGAGAGCAUGACCCGGCUCACUGGGACUGAGACACUGCCCAGACACCUACGGGUGGCUGCAGUCGAGAAUCUGCGGCAAUGGGCGCAAGCCUGACCGAGCGACGCCGCGUGCGGGAUGAAGGCCUUCGGGUUGUAAACCGCUGUCGUAGAGGAGGAAAUGCGCGAGAGCUAUCUCUUGCGUUUGACGGAACCCUGGAGGAAGCACGGGCUAAGUUCGUGCCAGCAGCCGCGGUAA
This 480-nucleotide ribosomal RNA is filed under the name uncultured bacterium. Its description in RNAcentral is "partial 16S ribosomal RNA". It matches the Rfam family "Bacterial small subunit ribosomal RNA", at positions 28 to 523 of the family's 1533-position model. The record is from RNAcentral.